AAGGGAGGUAUGAUAUACAGCACCUGGUGGGUCAUUAUUUCAACAUCCAGUCGACAACAGCGGCACCGUGAUCAUAAUCCAGUCAACUGGCAGCCAGGUGUCUCUUGCACGCUGCACAAUCUUCAAUCUCCUCUCAAGCCGUGAUGAAAGGCAGGCCGGGCGCGGGCUUCCGACCCCCGGGGAAACGUUUUUUUCCUUCUUCGGCGUCGAGGAGAAAGGAGAGC
This 224-nucleotide unclassified non-coding RNA is filed under the name Penaeus chinensis. Its description in RNAcentral is "cuticle protein CP1499-like, transcript variant X2". The record is from RNAcentral. Lineage: Eukaryota; Metazoa; Arthropoda; Malacostraca; Decapoda; Penaeidae.